RNAcentral lists this ribosomal RNA (1090 nucleotides) under Neomysis japonica. RNAcentral's name for it is "16S ribosomal RNA". The stretch from base 870 to 1026 matches the Rfam family "Archaeal large subunit ribosomal RNA", at positions 2544 to 2703 of the family's 2987-position model. Lineage: Eukaryota; Metazoa; Arthropoda; Malacostraca; Mysida; Mysidae. The record is from RNAcentral.
GUAUAAUUUACAAAUUUAUAUUUAUAAUUAUUUUUUUUAUUUCUAAUCUUAGAAGAUAUACUUUAAAUUAUUAAAAAAUACCUUUUGUAUCUGGUGCUAUUAAAAUAUAUUAAUUUUUAUACCUCCUGAAAUAAUUUUUCAUUUUUUUAUUCAACACUUUAUGGAAUUAAGGUUUAUGAAAGAAAGUAGUGAUAUGCUUACGAAAAUUUUUAUAUCCGGUUUAUAAAUUAAAUUUAUUUAAUAAAUUAGAUAGAAUAUAAUGGAUUAGCAUUAUAUUUAAUUCUUUGUUUAUUCUUCUUUUAUAAAAUAACAUUAAUGGUGUGUUAUUUAACAUAGUUUAAUAACUUCAGUAUAAUAUUUAUAUUUCAAGAAACUUUUAUUUAUAAAAAUAAUAACUAAAAAUAUUAUAAUAAUGAUAUUAUAAGUAUAACUUUACUACUUCAAAUGAAGAGCUUUGGUAAAUAAAAUUUAUAUAAGUAACUCAACUAAUAUUUACUUUGUCUGUUUAGUAAAAACAUUGCUAUUAAAAUUGAUAGUAACUUCUGCCCACUGUAAUAUAAAGGGCCGCAGUAUAAUAAUUGUGCAAAGGUAGCAUAAUAGAUUGUCUCUUAAUUGGGGACUGGAAUGAAAGGAGUCACAAAGGUAAAAUUUUCUUAUAUAUUUAUUAAAAAUUUAUGUUUCUGUAAAAAAGCAGAAUUUCUUUUAAGGGACGAUAAGACCCUAUAAAUUUUUACUUACAUAUAAUAUAAAGUUAUAAAACUAAAGUAAGAUUAGAUGGGGCAACUAAUUUAUUAAAUUAAUUUUGUAUUUACAUUCUAUAUGGUAGAAAGAGCGUUAUUUAAUUAACCAGGAGAAAUAAAUACUUUAGGGAUAACAGAGUAAUAAUUUUGGAGAGAUCUUAUCAAUAAAAUUGGUUACUACCUCGAUGUUGAAUUAAAAAGUUCUGAAGGUGUAGAAUAUUUCAGAAAAAGUCUGUUCGACUUAGAAUUUUACAUGAUUUGAGUUUAAACCGGUGUGAGCCAGGUUGGAUUCUAUCUUUAAAUUUUUAUUCUUUUUAGUACGAAAGGAUUGAGAGAAAAUAUAUAAUAUA